CCUACGGGUGGCAGCAGUGAGGAAUAUUGGUCAAUGGACGAGAGUCUGAACCAGCCAAGUAGCGUGAAGGAUGACUGCCCUAUGGGUUGUAAACUUCUUUUAUAAAGGAAUAAAACGAGGCACGUGUGCGUUUUUGCAUGUACUAUAUGAAUAAGGAUCGGCUAACUCCGUGCCAGCAGCCGCGGUAAUACGGAGGAUCCGAGCGUUAUCCGGAUUUAUUGGGUUUAAAGGGUGCGUAGGCGGAUUGUUAAGGAAGUGGUGAAAUGUCGGCGCUUAACUCGGGAAUUGCAUCUAAUACUGGUGUUCUUGAGCGUAGAUGCUGUAGGCGGAAUGUCUGGUGUAGCGGU
Molecule: ribosomal RNA, 347 nt
Filed under: uncultured bacterium
Lineage: Bacteria
Description: partial 16S ribosomal RNA
Rfam family: Bacterial small subunit ribosomal RNA
Source: RNAcentral